AGGGGGAUAACAGUUAGAAAUGACUGCUAAUACCGCAUAAGCGCACAGUCUCGCAUGGGACAGUGUGAAAAACUGAGGUGGUGUGAGAUGGAUCCGCGUCUGAUUAGGCAGUUGGCGGGGUAACGGCCCACCAAACCAACGAUCAGUAGCCGGCCUGAGAGGGUGAACGGCCACAUUGGGACUGAGACACGGCCCAAACUCCUACGGGAGGCAGCAGUGGGGAAUAUUGCACAAUGGGGGAAACCCUGAUGCAGCGACGCCGCGUGAAGGAAGAAGUAUUUCGGUAUGUAAACUUCUAUCAGCAGGGAAGAAAGUGACGGUACCUGACUAAGAAGCCCCGGCUAACUACGUGCCAGCAGCCGCGGUAAUACGUAGGGGGCAAGCGUUAUCCGGAUUUACUGGGUGUAAAGGGAGCGUAGGCGGCGAUGCAAGUCAGAAGUGAAAGCCCGGGGCUCAACUCCGGGACUGCUUUUGAAACUGUAUGGCUAGAUUGCAGGAGAGGCAAGUGGAAUUCCUAGUGUAGCGGUGAAAUGCGUAGAUAUUAGGAGGAACACCAGUGGCGAAGGCGGCUUGCUGGACUGUAAAUGACGCUGAGGCUCGAAAGCGUGGGGAGCAAACAGGAUUAGAUACCCUGGUAGUCCACGCCGUAAACGAUGAUCACUAGGUGU
RNAcentral lists this ribosomal RNA (668 nucleotides) under uncultured bacterium. RNAcentral's name for it is "bacterial SSU rRNA". It matches the Rfam family "Bacterial small subunit ribosomal RNA", at positions 137 to 823 of the family's 1533-position model. The record is from RNAcentral.